GACAGAGGUGCCAAGCGUUAGGCGGAAUCACUGGGCUUAAAGCGCGUGUAGGCGGAUGGGAACGUCGGUCGCUGAAAUCCCCCGGCUCAACCGGGGAACGGGCGCCGAAACGACCCGUCUGGAGGGACGUAGGGGGACCUGGAACUUCCGGUGGAGCGGUGAAAUGCGUUGAGAUCGGAAGGAACGCCCGUGGCGAAAGCGAGGUCCUGGACGUCUACUGACGCUGAGACGCGAAAGCUAGGGGAGCGAACGGG
This 254-nucleotide ribosomal RNA is filed under the name uncultured bacterium. Its description in RNAcentral is "partial 16S ribosomal RNA". It matches the Rfam family "Bacterial small subunit ribosomal RNA", at positions 524 to 776 of the family's 1533-position model. The record is from RNAcentral.